This 406-nucleotide ribosomal RNA is filed under the name uncultured bacterium. RNAcentral's name for it is "partial 16S ribosomal RNA". It matches the Rfam family "Bacterial small subunit ribosomal RNA", at positions 30 to 526 of the family's 1533-position model. The record is from RNAcentral.
AUUGAACGCUGGCGGCAGGCCUAACACAUGCAAGUCGAACGAGUGGCGGAAGGGUGAGUAAUGUCUGGGAAACUGCCCGAUGGAGGGGGAUAACUACUGGAAACGGUAGCUAAUACCGCAUACCAUCGGAUGUGCCCAGAUGGGAUUAGCUUGUAGGUGAGGUAACGGCUCACCUAGUCGACGAUCCCUAGCUGGUCUGAGAGGAUGACCAGCAACCCUGGAACUGAGACACGGUCCAGCCGCCUCCGUGAGUGAGCAGUGGGGAAUUUUGCACAAUGGGCGCAAGCCUUAUGCAGCCAGGCCGCGUGUAUGAAGAAGGCGUUCGGGUUUUAAAGUACUUUCAGCGGGGAGGCGUUACCCGCAGAAGAAGCACCGGCUAACUCCGUGCCAGCAGCCGCGGUAAUAC